GAGGGGAUAGCUCCAUGGUAGAGUGUGUGCUUAGCACGCACAAGGUCCUGGGUUCAAUCCCCACUACCUCCA
This 72-nucleotide transfer RNA is filed under the name Camelus bactrianus (Bactrian camel). It matches the Rfam family "tRNA". Rfam says of the family: Transfer RNA (tRNA) molecules are approximately 80 nucleotides in length. Their secondary structure includes four short double-helical elements and three loops (D, anti-codon, and T loops). Further hydrogen bonds mediate the characteristic L-shaped molecular structure. tRNAs have two regions of fundamental functional importance: the anti-codon, which is responsible for specific mRNA codon recognition, and the 3' end, to which the tRNAs corresponding amino acid is attached (by aminoacyl-tRNA synthetases). tRNAs cope with the degeneracy of the genetic code in two manners: having more than one tRNA (with a specific anti-codon) for a particular amino acid; and 'wobble' base-pairing, i.e. permitting non-standard base-pairing at the 3rd anti-codon position. RNAcentral also lists the same sequence under 2 other names. Lineage: Eukaryota; Metazoa; Chordata; Mammalia; Artiodactyla; Camelidae. The record is from Rfam by way of RNAcentral.